RNAcentral lists this ribosomal RNA (253 nucleotides) under uncultured bacterium. RNAcentral describes it as "partial 16S ribosomal RNA". It matches the Rfam family "Bacterial small subunit ribosomal RNA", at positions 524 to 776 of the family's 1533-position model. The record is from RNAcentral.
UACAGAGGUCCCAAGCGUUGUUCGGAUUCACUGGGCGUAAAGGGUGCGCAGGUGGGUUUGCAAGUUCGAUGUGAAAGCCCCGGGCUUAACCCGGGAAUGGCAUUGGAUACUGCAGAUCUGGAGGAUCGGAGGGGGGACUGGAAUUCUUGGUGUAGCAGUGAAAUGCGUAGAUAUCAAGAGGAACACCAGUGGCGAAGGCGGGUCUCUGGGCCGAUACUGACGCUGAGGAGCGAAUGCGUGGGGAGCGAACAGG